Apis cerana (Asiatic honeybee) is the source of this 785-nucleotide long non-coding RNA. RefSeq lists it as uncharacterized. NCBI's taxonomy places the organism in Eukaryota, Metazoa, Arthropoda, Insecta, Hymenoptera, Apidae. The record is from RefSeq and is a predicted model, not a curated record.
UACAAAAAUUACUUUUAUCUUCGAAACAACAGUGUAACAAUUCCGAGGGGCGCCAAGCGGGCUAGCGCCGGCCCUGUCCACGCGCCAACAAUUUCAAAGAUUAGUUACCACGGUGCCUCGACUCGUUCACCUGCCGCAUCUAACAUUCAAUCUCGCAACAAGGCCGAGAGGCGAAAAAUUUCCGUAAAAAGCUUGGAAGCGGUCAGUCAGGAGGUGGAUCAACCGGAUCGAAAAACUUGCUCGCUUCGGUUCAAGAUGGCAAAAAGAGGAGGUUGAGCGCUUAAUAUGCAUCGCGUCCCGCGUUCCUCGAAGCGCGGUUUCUUUCGUGCGGGUUAUGCCGAGGAACGAGACACGGAAGAGGAGCCCACUUUCUUCGAUUCGAGACUGGAAUCGGUAUCGAGGAGGUAAUCGAGGAUAUCGAGGAAAGAGUGGGUUUGGAUAUAUAGAUAUGGGGAGAGAUUUUAGAGGAUCUUUUCUCGGAAGAAGAGCGGAGAAAUUCUUCGAAUGCUGCGAUUACAGCUUCAGGAAUGGCGAAAUAUUUGGUGGGUUAUAAUUCUAUUAAAAAAUGGACUUUUACCGUUUUAUGUGAUGAGCACGCUUCAAACACUGCAACUUUUGAUCCUCUGUCAGUAGACAUCCACUUUUCCAAUUUUUAAACUCAUACAGGAAUAAUAUUUUAAAUUAAUUCAGUAGUAACACUACUGUUCACUUCUCAAAAAACAGGUUAACUAAUACAAGAAAGAAGUUGCACAAAAGAAAUAUAAAAGGACAAUGUGCUAAGCAAA